Molecule: ribosomal RNA, 202 nt
Filed under: uncultured bacterium
Lineage: Bacteria
Description: partial 16S ribosomal RNA
Rfam family: Bacterial small subunit ribosomal RNA
Source: RNAcentral
UGGGGGAUAGCCGGGCCCAACGGCCGGGUAAUACCGCAUACGAUCUUUGGGGGCAUCCCUGGACGACGAAAGCUCGUAAGAGCGCAGGAUGAGGGGCUCGCGGGCCUAUCAGCUAGUUGGCGGGGUAAUGGCCCACCAAGGCGAUGACGGGUAGCUGGUCUGAGAGGAUGGCCAGCCACAUUGGGACUGAGAGACGGCCCAG